UUAAAUACAGGAUCAGUUCAUUUGCAUAUUGCUCAGAUGCUUCAGUGCUCUGAGAGUGUUUAUAGUGCUGUGAGUUUAACACUUCAUCACUGACACACACAACAAUCUUCAUCAACAUGACCUUCAUCAUCAUCUUCAUCUGGACUCUCACAGCGUUUGCUCAAGAGUGUAGAGGACAGAUCAGCGUCACUCAGAGUCCCUCAACAGCAGCUCAACCAGGAGAAACAGUGAAGAUCAGCUGCAAAACCAGCACUGAUGUGUACAGAUGGAGUGAUGGGGAUGAAGGUUUAGCCUGGUACUUACAGAAACCUGGAGAAGCUCCUAAACUCCUGAUUCGUUACGUAAAAAAGCUUGAGUCAGGAACUCCAUCUAGAUUCAGUGGCAGUGGAUCUAACAGUGAUUUCACUCUGACCAUCAGUGGAGUCCAGACUGAAGAUGCUGGACACUAUUACUGUCAGAGUUUACACAGUGGUGGUGUGUUCACACAGUGAUAAAGCGUGGUACAAAAACCUGUGUCAGUCAGA
This is a non-coding RNA of Carassius gibelio (silver crucian carp), 524 nucleotides long. The record is from the annotation of a RefSeq genome assembly. NCBI's taxonomy places the organism in Eukaryota, Metazoa, Chordata, Actinopteri, Cypriniformes, Cyprinidae.